This 238-nucleotide ribosomal RNA is filed under the name uncultured Rhizophagus. RNAcentral describes it as "partial small subunit ribosomal RNA". The stretch from base 38 to 238 matches the Rfam family "Eukaryotic small subunit ribosomal RNA", at positions 684 to 886 of the family's 1831-position model. Lineage: Eukaryota; Fungi; Glomeromycota; Glomeromycetes; Glomerales; Glomeraceae. The record is from RNAcentral.
GGGUUAGUAGAUUGGUCAUGCCUCUGGUAUGUACUGGUUUCACUGAUUCCUCCUUCCUGAUGAACCGUAAUGCCAUUUAUUUGGUGUUGCGAGGAAUUUGGACUGUUACUUUGAAAAAAUUAGAGUGUUUAAAGCAAGCUAACGCUUGAAUACAUUAGCAUGGAAUAAUGAAAUAGGACGUUCGAUCCUAUUUUGUUGGUUUCUAGGAUUGACGUAAUGAUUAAUAGGGAUAGUUGGG